UAGUAGCGCAAUAAAUUGUCCUUUAAUUGGGGAAAUGAAUGAAAGGGUUGACGAGGGGGAAGCUAUCUUUUUGGUAUAGUUUGAAGUUUUCUUUUAUGUGAAAAGACUUAGAUUUUAUAAUUAGAAGAGAAGACCCCGGCGAGCUUGUUAAGGGUUACUAAGUUGAGGUAAUUAUUGAUUUUUGUUGGGGCAACGCAAAGGGAAAAGAACUCCUUUGAGUUUUAUAGGGAUCCACUUAGAGUGAACAAAGCAAAAGCUACCGCGGGGAUAACAGCGCAAUUUCUUCAGAGAGCUCAUAUCGAAGAGGAAGGUUGCGACCUCG
RNAcentral lists this ribosomal RNA (322 nucleotides) under Mactra chinensis. RNAcentral describes it as "partial 16S ribosomal RNA". It matches the Rfam family "Archaeal large subunit ribosomal RNA", at positions 2031 to 2597 of the family's 2987-position model. The record is from RNAcentral. Lineage: Eukaryota; Metazoa; Mollusca; Bivalvia; Venerida; Mactridae.